Molecule: ribosomal RNA, 265 nt
Filed under: uncultured bacterium
Lineage: Bacteria
Description: partial 16S ribosomal RNA
Rfam family: Bacterial small subunit ribosomal RNA
Source: RNAcentral
GUCCACGCUGUAAACGUUGGGCACUAGGUGUGGGAGGUAUUGACCCCUUCCGUGCCGUAGCUAACGCGCUAAGUGCCCCGCCUGGGGAGUACGGCCGCAAGGCUAAAACUCAAAGGAAUUGACGGGGGCCCGCACAAGCAGCGGAGCGUGUGGUUCAAUUCGAUGGUACGCGAAGAACCUUACCAGGGUUUGACAUGCUGGUGGUACCGACCUGAAAGGGAAGGGACCCUUCGGGGAGCCAGCACAGGUGUUGCAUGGCUGUCGU